Meleagris gallopavo (turkey) is the source of this 267-nucleotide non-coding RNA. The record is from RefSeq and is a predicted model, not a curated record. Lineage: Eukaryota; Metazoa; Chordata; Aves; Galliformes; Phasianidae.
UAAAGCAGUACUUGUAGGUUCUUUGGAUGGUUUUAGGCUUGGAUGCAGCGUGUUGGCUUGUUUCCUGCCUCCUAGCAGUGCUCCACAGCCAAUUGAGAAGAUAAGGCCCCCAGUGCAGAAAGAAGUGUAAGGAGAAGGUGAUGAUGUCCUGCUUGACUUGAAGCAAUCCACUGUGGAGAGCCUCAAGAGGAGAGAAAGGUAUUGAGUCAGCUUUACCAUCGCAACGAUGGCAACGCCGCCGAUCAUCAUGCAUGUGGGCCAGAAGAG